GACGCUACCCUUCCUGAGCUAAGUCAUGGAAGGGCUUGAGUGUAGCAGCUAGCGCAAUUUAGUGCGAGACUCUGACUCAUGUUGGGUAGUGGAGUGGGUAAGGAUGAUGAGUGCUUCUAUCAAGCAUCUCUCAUUGGCCCAACCACGUAGGCCUAAGAUAAAGCCCAUGGACCAUGGCAUGGGGGCUUCACACCUUGGUGUAAGCCCUUGUAGUUUUGUCUAUCACUCCUGAGCUA
RNAcentral lists this non-coding RNA (236 nucleotides) under Bryoerythrophyllum inaequalifolium. Lineage: Eukaryota; Viridiplantae; Streptophyta; Bryopsida; Pottiales; Pottiaceae. The record is from RNAcentral.